RNAcentral lists this ribosomal RNA (450 nucleotides) under uncultured Glomeromycotina. RNAcentral's name for it is "SSU rRNA". It matches the Rfam family "Eukaryotic small subunit ribosomal RNA", at positions 569 to 1016 of the family's 1831-position model. The record is from RNAcentral. Lineage: Eukaryota; Fungi; Glomeromycota.
AGCAGCCGCGGUAAUUCCAGCUCCAAUAGCGUAUAUUAAAGUUGUUGCAGUUAAAAAGCUCGUAGUUGAAUUUCGGGAUUGACGUAAUGGUCGUGCCUUAAGGGGUAUGAACUGUUACUGUUGAUUUCUCACCUUCUGGAGAAACUUGAUGUCCUUAAUUGGGUGUCUUGCGGAUCCAGGACCUUUACCUUGAAAAAAUUAGAGUGUUUAAAGCAGGCAUUUUUGCUCGAAUACAUUAGCAUGGAAUAAUAGAAUAGGACGGCAUGGUUCUAUUUUGUUGGUUUCUAGGAUCACCGUAAUGAUUAAUAGGGAUAGUUGGGGGCAUUAGUAUUCAAUUGUCAGAGGUGAAAUUCUUGGAUUUAUUGAAGACUAACUACUGCGAAAGCAUUUGCCAAGGAUGUUUUCAUUAAUCAAGAACGAAAGUUAGGGGAUCGAAGACGAUCAGAUACC